This 222-nucleotide non-coding RNA is filed under the name Fictibacillus phosphorivorans. RNAcentral's name for it is "T-box sequence". It matches the Rfam family "T-box leader". Rfam says of the family: Uncharged tRNA acts as the effector for transcription antitermination of genes in the T-box leader family. Lineage: Bacteria; Bacillati; Bacillota; Bacilli; Caryophanales; Fictibacillaceae. The record is from RNAcentral.
UUAAAAACGAAGAUGGAGAAAAGUAGAUAAUGAUUCCGCCAAAAAGGGAGGAAAUGUCUUAGACUGUGAGCAUUUCUUUGGUAGGUGUUAUUGAAUUCACUCCGGAGUUGUCACCUGAAACGGUAAGUAGGGCUGACCGGUGAAGAGCCGUUAUUAAAAUGAAGUGAACAGUGUAUUUUUCAUUGUUAAAUUGGGUGGUACCGCGAACUCCUCGUCCCUUAU